GCUUCCUGUCUGCGACUGCCUUCAUGUUGGUGAUUUGUGUUAAAUUGACAACAUAUAGUAUGGCUACAGCCUCAGGUGGAUCAGGACAAGAUUCAUCCCCCUGAACAGCUUUCACAAGCGCUGAAGAGGCUGCUGUGCGGGGGAGGUGUUCCCUUCUUUGAAUGUGUGGGGUUACAAGUGGCUUUCCCAGCUGCUCCAGGAACACCCUCCUCUUGUUCCACUUAUCAGGCAUCCAGGCAGGUUUUCUGUUGGUGAAAUUCCUGAUGAUUUGAGGCGUUCCAAGCGUGCGCUGGGUGCUGAUGUUCCCGACGGAACAUUGGAGUGCAGGCUGGCAACCGCAGAGGAUUCUGGGAUAAUGGAUUGGUGUGGAUGGAGGUCAGGAGGGGAAGUUUUCCCUGUUUUCUCUUCUCCUCCUCUAUAACUGAACCUACAGUUAGUCUGUCUGGACAUUCAUCUCUGGAAGCUUCCCUUUUCCCCUAACGUAAACAACAUGGGGCACCAGAAGUCUUUCAAUGGAUAAGAUGGUCACAGUCUGGAGUUCAUUCGAAUCCGCCAAUGCUACGUUUACACAGUAAUGUACUGCUGCCUGCAAACACGCUUCUAUUCGAUGGACUAUUUAUUCCUUUGAGUGACCAAGUCACUCACUUUACUAUAUAUUUGUAAAUACAGUGUAUUAAAGUCCAUUAUUAAUACAUACUACCUCUCUUAUUACUUCUAGUACUUGUUAAUUUUGACUACACUCUUUUUAUUGUUAUUGACUAAUGUACUGCACUUCUUGUACCUGCAGUAAACUGUAUAUGUGACAAAUAAAAUUUGAUUUGAUUUCUUGUUCCCG
This 835-nucleotide long non-coding RNA is filed under the name Salmo salar (Atlantic salmon). RNAcentral describes it as "lncRNA (ENSSSAG00000112403.1)". The record is from RNAcentral. Lineage: Eukaryota; Metazoa; Chordata; Actinopteri; Salmoniformes; Salmonidae.